Molecule: transfer RNA, 73 nt
Filed under: Zhangixalus omeimontis (Omei tree frog)
Lineage: Eukaryota; Metazoa; Chordata; Amphibia; Anura; Rhacophoridae
Description: tRNA-Lys
Rfam family: tRNA
About the family: Transfer RNA (tRNA) molecules are approximately 80 nucleotides in length. Their secondary structure includes four short double-helical elements and three loops (D, anti-codon, and T loops).
Source: RNAcentral
UCAUUAAGAAGCUAUAUGGAACAGCAACAGCCUUUUAAGUUGUAGAUAGGUGAUUCCAACCACCCUUAAUGAA